RNAcentral lists this ribosomal RNA (425 nucleotides) under Savarna kaeo. RNAcentral's name for it is "partial 16S ribosomal RNA". The record is from RNAcentral. Lineage: Eukaryota; Metazoa; Arthropoda; Arachnida; Araneae; Pholcidae.
UUUAAGACGUUAUUUAAAGUAAAACCUGCUCAAUGAUUUCCAAAUUAAAUAGCCGCAGUCAUCCUGUGCUAAGGUAGCAUAAUCACUUGCUUUCUAAUUAAAAGAUAGAAUGAAAGGUUAAACGAUAAAAUAUUAUUUAACUAAAAUUAAUAAAAUUACAAUUAAAGUCAAAAUCCUUUAAUAUAAAAGUAAGACGACAAGACCCUAAAGAACUUAACAUUUAGUUGGGGCAACAUAUUAAAAAUUCUUUAACAUUUAUUUUCAUAAAAAUUACAUAAAAAUUUAAUCUAGUUACCAUAGGGAUAACAGCGCUAUUUCUUUUCAAAGCCCUUAUUUAAAAAGAAGAUUACGACCUCGAUGUUGAAUUAUUAAUCCUAAUAGGUGCAAAAACUUAUAAAGGAAGUCUGUUCGACUUUUAAAAUUAU